GUCCCUUAUAGGGUCUGUUAUAGGGUCCCUUAUAGGGUCUGUUAUAGGGUCUGUUAUAGGGUCCCUUAUAGGGCCAGUUAUGGGGUUCCUUAUAGGGUCUGUUAUGGGGUCCCUUAUAGGACUCCUUAUAGGGUCCCUUAUAGGGCCGGUUAUGGGGUCUGUUGUUAUAGGGUCCCUUAUAGGGUCCCCUAUAGGGUCUCACCCCACACUGCUGGCUGUGGGGUCCCCUAUAGGGUUCCUUAUAGGGUCCCUUAUAGGGUUCCAUAUAGGGUCCCUUAUAGGGUCUGUUAUAGGGUCCCUUAUAGGGUCUGUUAUAGGGUCCCUUAUAGGGUCAGUUAUAGGGUCCCUUAUAGGGUUCCUUAUAGGGCUGGUUAUAGGGUCCCUUAUAGGGUCCCUUAUAGGGUCUGUUAUAGGGUCCCUUAUAGAAUCUGUUAUAGAGUCCCUUAUAGGGUCUGUUAUGGGGUCUGUUGUUAUAUAGGGUUCCUUAUAGGGUCCCCUAUAGGGUCUCACCCCACACUGCUGGCUAUGGGGUCCCCUAUGGGUCUGGUUAUGGGGUAUAUUAUAGGGUUCCUUAUAGGGCCCCUUAUAGGGUCCCUUAUAGGGUCCCUUAUAGGGUCACUUAUAGGGUCUGUUAUAGGGUCCCUUAUAGGGUCUGUUAUAGGGCCAGCUAUAGGGUCUGUUAUAGGGUCUGUUAUAGGGUCCCUUAUAGGGUCUGUUAUAGGGUCCCCUAUAGGGCCGGUUAUAGGGUCUGUUAUAGGGUCCCCUAUAGGGUCUGUUAUAGGGUCCCCUAUAGGGCCGGUUAUGGGGUCCCUUAUAGGGUAUGUUAUAGGGUCCCUUAUAGGGUUCCUUAUAGGGUUCCUUAUAGGGUCCCUUAUAGGGUCUGUUAUAGGGUCCCUUAUAGGGCCGGUUCUGGGGUCCCUUAUAGGGCCGGUUAUGGGGUCUGUUAUGGGGUCUGUUGUUAUAUAGGGUCCCCUAUAGGGCCGGUUAUAGGGUCCCCUAUAGGGUCUCACCCCACACUGCUGGCUGUGGGGUCCCCUAUAGGGCCUUAUAGGGCCGGUUAUGGGGUCUGUUAUGGGGUCUGUUGUUAUAGGGUAUGUUAUAGGGUCCCUUAUAGGGUCUGUUGUUAUAGGGUCCCUUAUAGGGUUCCUUAUAGGGUCCCCUAUAGGGUCUCACCCCACACUCUUGGCUGUCGGUGACUCUGAGCCGGUCGCUGCCGGGUUCCAGCCGUUCCCCAUUGGCCGCAAUGAGUUUUAACGGGGGGAUGGCGCCCCCUGCUGGACACCGCCGGGAAACGCUCUGAGUGGCCG
This 1307-nucleotide long non-coding RNA is filed under the name Coturnix japonica (Japanese quail). RNAcentral describes it as "lncRNA (ENSCJPG00005002620.1)". Lineage: Eukaryota; Metazoa; Chordata; Aves; Galliformes; Phasianidae. The record is from RNAcentral.